GUAGUCUGCAACUCGACUACAUGAAGCUAGAAUCGCUAGUAAUCGCGAAUCAGCAUGUCGCGGUGAAUACGUUCCCGGGUCUUGUACACACCGCCCGUCACACCAUGGGAGUUGGUAACGCCCGAAGCCAGUGACCCAACUGGAAACGGAGGGAGCUGUCGAAGGUGGGACCGAUAACUGGGGUGAAGUCGUAACAAGGUAAC
RNAcentral lists this ribosomal RNA (203 nucleotides) under uncultured bacterium. RNAcentral describes it as "partial 16S ribosomal RNA". It matches the Rfam family "Bacterial small subunit ribosomal RNA", at positions 1300 to 1500 of the family's 1533-position model. The record is from RNAcentral.